Molecule: ribosomal RNA, 515 nt
Filed under: uncultured bacterium
Lineage: Bacteria
Description: partial 16S ribosomal RNA
Rfam family: Bacterial small subunit ribosomal RNA
Source: RNAcentral
GAUGAACGCUGGCGGCGUGCCUAAUACAUGCAAGUCGAGCGAAUGGAUUAAGAGCUUGCUCUUAUGAAGUUAGCGGCGGACGGGUGAGUAACACGUGGGUAACCUGCCCAUAAGACUGGGAUAACUCCGGGACACCGGGGCUAAUACCGGAUACCAUUUUGAACCGCACGGUUCGAAAUUGAAAGGCGGCUUCGGCUGUCACUUAUGGAUGGACCCGCGUCGCAUUAGCUAGUUGGUGAGGUAACGGCUCACCAAGGCAACGAUGCGUGGCCGACCUGAGAGGGUGAUCGGCCACACUGGGACUGAGACACGGCCCAGACUCCUACGGGAGGCAGCAGUAGGGAAUCUUCCGCAAUGGACGAAAGUCUGACGGAGCAACGCCGCGUGAGUGAUGAAGGCUUUCGGGUCGUAAAACUCUGUUGUUAGGGAAGAACAAGUGCUAGUUGAAUAAGCUGGCACCUUGACGGUACCUAACCAGAAAGCCACGGCUAACUACGUGCCAGCAGCCGCCGUAA